RNAcentral lists this ribosomal RNA (5255 nucleotides) under Triticum aestivum (bread wheat). RNAcentral's name for it is "partial small subunit ribosomal RNA". The record is from RNAcentral. Lineage: Eukaryota; Viridiplantae; Streptophyta; Magnoliopsida; Poales; Poaceae.
GGACCGACAGAGCAAGUGGGCGCCAAUCAGCUGGUUCCACAUCCUCCCGUAGAUGAUUCCGUGAGCAUCCAGCCCGUAAGUGUGGCAUUACUGCCUACAAAUACGUCUCGCAACACUUGAGCCUCACACUACAUACAAUUGCAACACCAUUACUCAAGGGUGGCAUUCCAAUUCCCAAUCACAAGGAUGAACACGGGGCUCGGCAGGUGAUUCUAUCAACCAAAAUCUUUGUACUCAUACAAAUUGUUUUUUACUAGUCACUAAAAUGUCUUAAUUAAUUAUGUGAGUCUAAUUCCUAUAGGUAGCAACGGUAAUUUGUUGCUCAUGAGGUCUAGAGGCUACACAUGUGCAUGCACUUAAUUAUAAUGGUCGAUAUUCAUUACAUUCGAAUUUCACUAACCAUAAUCGUGCAAAUAUAUAUACACCAAAUGUUGGGAGAAAACUCACCCGUUGACAACUGGGCUGUAGUUUUGUACUACGAUGUUAUAGCCUACACCUGCAAUUGUUGUCCAUAGGGGGAUUACGAUAUAUCCAAAAACCAUGUCCACGGUAAUUGCGUUGUCCCUGGAUCCAAAAUUCGCAGAACAGUGUUGUAGACAUCAAAACUAGCAUGGACAUGCACGUUUGGGAAGACGCAUGCAUGUGGCCAUCUAUUUGCUUCAAGAUUGGUGUGCUACUUUAUACUGGUAAUCCUGUCGAUGCACUGGGGUCCAUGCAUAUUAGCUUUUGGCGGAAUUGCAUGUGUCACCUAUUCCGUCUCUCAUGUCUUUUCAUUUUAUCUUAAAAAUUUAAAUUUAUUUUAUAGUUUGAACUAAAAAGCUAGAUUAAGUUUUGUUUACACAUUUGUGUUCGCUGCAACGAGUACUUUUGAAUAAGACCAAUUUUUAAUACAUUCAGAAACUUUUUAAAAAUUUGCCAAGUUUGAAAUAUUAAAACUUGAUAGUCAUAAUAUCACGUUUUACUAAGUUUUACAUAUUUAUCAUUCGGUCUAUCAACUUUAAGUAGUUGAAACAAGUUUUAGAAACUUAUCAAAACGUUGGAGCCCCCACAUGGUUUUAAGUUCCAGUUCUGAAACUUACUAAUUUUAUUGUUCAUUUCUAUCAAGUUUCAGCAGUUGAAACUUAGCAAAAAUUUAUAAAUGUGUCAAAACAUAUUUAAAAUUGGUAUUAUUUUGAAGACAUCAUCACAAGGAACAUGGAUAUACAAAUGAAAUAUAAAUUGAACUUUCGAUUCAAUACAUACAAUACAUUGAAAUUUACAAGUUAAAAGAAAAACAUGAGAGAUGGGGUCUGUGGGGCAUGCACUCUCUGCCAAACGUUGUACUCCCUCCUUCACAAAAUAUAAGACAUGUUUGACUUUGCACGGUCUUUUGUGCAUGACUUUGAUCAUUAAUAUAUAUUGAAUUACAUAGAUUGAACAUAUGUAAAUGACAUCGUCAUAUUUUUCUUGCAAAAUGAUUUAUUUCAUAUGUCUAUAUAAUAAUUUUAUAGACCAACAGUACAUGAAAUCAUAGUUAAAGUUGUGCAAUGAAGAUUAAAAAAAUCAACCGCGCCUUAUAUUCUGGGAAGGGAGUAAACCGAAAGGUGCAUGUAUGCAGUAAUCUUACCUUACCUACUAAUAAACCAGCGAUUGCUUCUGGUCGUACGUCGCUUUUGCAAUUUUGCAAAAAAGCCCUUCUAUUUUCUGAUAAUUAAACCCGUAGUCCCUUUUAAGUGAAUAUUUGUGAACCGUUUUUUGUUUUUGCACAAAACCCUCAUCCUUUGAGGAUCGAACCGUCGACCAGGCCCUCCGCCAAAAUCAGAAGCCAACAAGCAGAGGACGGCAACAAAACGAAGGGAUUACAAUCCGCAACAUCGGAUACUUCCAGGAAGAAAUCGGAUUAGCAGAACCGACACCCUCCGAUUUACAAUUGACCCAGAUGAUAAACUUUGGGAAUACAAAAAAUACCAAAUAAUCAGUUAGGAGUAGCAUCAGAUGCUUCCGCCGAGCGGCCUCGCGGUACCGGGACUCCCGCCGGCGAGGGCCGUCUUACCCACGCGUAGUGCGGCUCACGCGAGUAAGACGAGGGACGGCCGGGGACGAUCGAUGGCGGCGCUGUCGUCAUUAUCGUCACGCUUGGAGGUAAGCCAGAGAGUGGCGGUGCCGGAAGCAGGGGAGGACGGGCCCCGACGAUCGGCGAACUUGGAGGUGGCGGCGGCGCGACGACGUCCGGAUGCUGGCGGCAGCGGCGAGGCUCCUUGCGUGCUCCCUGCAUGACCAAGGGAAAAAGAAAAGGCUAAGAUGCAGGUGAGGACUGAGGAGGAGACAUGAAGAAGGAGAAGGAAAGGCGUUGGAGCUCCGCUGUGGGGCGGCAUGCGCGAGGGAUCGGGAGGGCGCUGAGCCGGUGGAGGAAGGAGGAGACGCUCGGGAGGCUCGGUGGUGGCCUCGACUCCAUCUGGAUCUAGAGCUGCAUGUGGAGAAGAAUGCGUGGGGAGAGAUGAGGAUGAGGGCGGCUGGCUGAGAAGAUAAGGUUGGAUGGGAGGGAGGGAGAGAGACAGCUGGUGGAAUCGUUGUCUAUAUUUUCGAGCGCGUGUCCAACUGACAUUGUUGAAAACUAAUAGUAAUAAGAAAAAGAGAAAGAGAGGAUUAAUAAAUGGGCUCAUGCACACAUCACGGCUAAACAGGAUUUGAUGAGAGGGAUUAGGGCAUGUACAAUGAUGCUAUCUUAAGAGUGCCACGUAAGAUAAAUGAUGAGGUGAAAGAGAGAGAAUCUAUAAGAAAAGACUUGUCUUCUCUAUUUAAGAUAAGAUAAAAAAUAAUCUCUUAGCAUAAUUUGUUUCACCAUGUUUUAAGGAAUGUCUAGUUAUUAAAUAUAAGGCUAAGAUAUAAUCCAUUAUAGACAUAUUUUUUGUCAUCUCUAAAUUAUAUGUAAGACUUAAGAUAAGACUGUUUUAUUAACCAUUAUACAUGCCUUUAAUGCGAGCUGCGUGCGGGCUGCGUGCGGACGGCGUGCACCGCUGUCGGGCAGGCAAGCUGCGAGAACUGCGGCGCGUGUGCUUGCUCGUGCUCUGGCCGGCGUGCUGAAUGCCGAGCCACAUGCACGUGCUCGGGCUGGGCACUGGAAACCAAUUGGGCUGGGCAUGCUUUGGGCCUUGGCCCAUCACAAUUUAUUUUUUGAUUGAGCCGUUGAAAAAAAUGCACAAAACAAUUAGUGUUUUUUUUGUAACCUACGCUCCGAGUAGGUCAAGUGUAAUUACAUAACGCAUGCUCUGUUGGGCCUGGAAGAUAAUACAACUUAGUAAGUCGGCCUUUUCUAUUAUCUAUUUUUCUACGGGGUAGCUUUCCUAUUAUCAUUAAAUAAAUAAUACCACCUGACCUCCUUACAACCAAAACCAUCAAGUUAUAUAUGUCCUGAAGUUACCAGUUACCGAUAGACUCAAUAAAUCGGCUUGUGAAUCAAUAAGCAGAGAAUAAGGAUGAUGACGCGAGAAGAGAAUGCUAAAAGAAGGAAUGAAGGAAUAUGCUGCCCUAUAUGCACUAAUUAGGUAGCGAACACUUACAAAGAUGGGCAGAAGACUGCAUGGAUGAAACUGAAGAAAGUCGCUAACAUAUUAAAAAGAUAACAAUGCCUCCCGUUAUAACGCACGGGCAUUUGUGCUAGUUAAAAUCUAAUCACAAAAUAAUCUUGGAGCAAUCGUACGGCCGCAUGAAUCGUGUUCCCGCCCCCUGCGUGACACAAACCAACAUCCUUGUAGAUAUCCAGAUUUAACUGCACCAUACUGUUUGGAGAAGAUGAACAGUGAAAUGUCUAAAACUUUGAUAGUCAACAACAAAAUUUGCUUAGUAACUUAGGUAAUUACCUCCUCAACUAGCUUUCUGACGUAGAUUAGUUUUGUAUAAGUUACAGAUCAGCUCCAAACUUGAUCUCUGACUCGGUAUAGGACGGGUGUCCCAUGUGGUAAAAGUAUUACCACCUUUUGCCUAAAAAAAUAUUACCACCUUUAUUUAUCUCUCCAAAUAGGGAUGUUAACAGCGUCUGGUUUAAACUCGUUUAAGCCCACUGAUCAGUCUAACGGAUCAAUAAAGUUUUUUUCAGAAAAAUAAACUGCCGAGCUAAGCUAACUAAAUGGGCCUUGUGGGGCCGUUUAUUAUGCCAUUUACAUCCCUAUCUCCAAACACGGAGUAUUUAACAAAAAAAUUACCACAAUUCAUGAAAUCGUGCCUACAAGCUAUCAUUUUACAAAUUUAUGUCGAAAACUACCAUUUUUUCACUAAUCUUUGACUAAAAACUACCAUGUCGGGAAAGUGCCAAAUUCGCCUCUUCUAAACACCUUUCUGACAGGAUGUGCCCACCUGUCAGCAUCAAUCUUCUUCCACCUCCUUCUCCCUCUCUCUCUGACAUUUCCUCAAACACCUCAUGUGCACUCCGCGCUCUUCUAAAUGGCUACGCCCCGGCGAAGCACGCGACGGCGGCCAGCAGAUGAAAGCCCAGCGUCUUGGACGACGAGGUCGCUGAGCCUCACCACCUGGCUGCUCCCGGUCACCAGAGCCUUCCUCUCCGCCACCUCCUCCUCCGGUGCCAGCGCGCGUGCACACAGGCAGCCGCAGCCGGCGUCGGCUCCCACGCACGCGGCGAAGCAGUCGAGCACCCUGCCCCCAUGCGCCAUAGUUGCAGCCUCGCCUCUGGCCUCUCUCAGACUCGCCGCAGCCUCGCCAUUGAGUUGGCCUCUCUCCUUUUCACGGAUUAAUGGCAAGAGCUAGUCAUGGCCGCCGCCACGCCCGGGCUCGAGCUCAGCCAUGGUCGCGCCCGGCCGCGCUUGCGGCUCCUGCUACUCCUUGCCACUCGCGCCGGCUGCUCCCUGCUACUCCUUGUCACCCGCGCCAAGGCUCGAGCUCGGCCAUGGUCGCGCACGGACGCGCUUGCUGCUCCUGCUACUCCUUGUCGCCCGCGCCGGCUGCUCCCUGCUGCUCCUUGUCGCCCGCGCCUGCUGCUAUUCCUUGCCGGCCGCCGUUGCUGCUGCUCCUUGCCUUGCCGGCCGGCGCCGAGGGGUGCACCCCCGUCGUGCUCCGGGGUGCAUCGCCGCGCUCUGGUCAGAGGAGCACCGCUGUGUGCAACGGAGGGGCGCACCGCCGCCUGCUAGAGGUUGUGCUCCGGCCAGAGGGGGAGAAGGAGGAGGGUCGGCCGGGGGUUGGAUGGGCCAGCCACCGAGCUGCGCGUGCUCUCGCUUGCCGGCAACUACCUCGCCGGCGAGCUCCCGGCCGUGGGGCAUGAAGAC